UACAUAGGGGGCAAGCGUUAUCCGGAAUUAUUGGAUGUAAAGGGUGCGUAGACGGGUGUUUAAGUUGGUUGUGAAAUCCCUCGGCUCAACUGAGGAACUGCAACCAAAACUGGAUAUCUUGAGUGUCGGAGAGGAAAGUGGAAUUCCUAGUGUAGCGGUGAAAUGCGUAGAUAUUAGGAGGAACACCAGUGGCGAAGGCGACUUUCUGGACGAUAACUGACGUUGAGGCA
This 230-nucleotide ribosomal RNA is filed under the name uncultured microorganism. Its description in RNAcentral is "partial 16S ribosomal RNA". It matches the Rfam family "Bacterial small subunit ribosomal RNA", at positions 524 to 753 of the family's 1533-position model. The record is from RNAcentral.